GGCAUGAGAAAGCCUUGUGCAUGUGUUGAAAGUUCAAAAACUUUUGAGAGAGAAGAAAAGAAAAGAAACAAAAGUGGGCGCAGGGUUUUCAGUGAGUACCCUAGGGUUUCUACCUAGGGUUCAGGAAGUGAGAAGGUGAGCUGUGAGUGUUGUGAGCCCACCAAAUUUUAGAGAGAGCUUCAUCAACCUCUCAAGUACAUUUGAUAAUGAUCCAAAGCAUCCGAAG
Molecule: long non-coding RNA, 226 nt
Filed under: Elaeis guineensis (African oil palm)
Lineage: Eukaryota; Viridiplantae; Streptophyta; Magnoliopsida; Arecales; Arecaceae
Description: long non-coding RNA (EGUI_LNC064701)
Source: RNAcentral